Molecule: ribosomal RNA, 407 nt
Filed under: uncultured bacterium
Lineage: Bacteria
Description: partial 16S ribosomal RNA
Rfam family: Bacterial small subunit ribosomal RNA
Source: RNAcentral
AUUGAACGCUGGCGGCAGGCCUAACACAUGCAAGUCGAACGGAGUGGCGGACGGGUGAGUAAUGUCUGGGAAACUGCCUGGUAGUGGGGGAUAACGUCCGGAAACGGGCGCUAAUACCGCAUACUAUCAGAUGAGCCUAGGUCGGAUUAGCUAGUUGGUGGGGUAAAGGCCUACCAAGGCGACGAUCCGUAACUGGUCUGAGAGGAGGAUCGGUCACACUGGAACGGAGACACGGUCAAGACUCCUGCGGGAGGCAGCAGUGGGGAAUAUGGGACAAUGGGCGAAAGCCUGAUCCAGCCAGGCCGCGGGUGUGAAGAAGGUCUUCGGUUUGUAAAGCACUUUAAGUGGGGAGGCGUUACCGACAGAAGAAGCACCGGCUAACUACGUGCCAGCCGCCGCGGUAAUAC